This 253-nucleotide ribosomal RNA is filed under the name uncultured bacterium. RNAcentral's name for it is "partial 16S ribosomal RNA". It matches the Rfam family "Bacterial small subunit ribosomal RNA", at positions 524 to 776 of the family's 1533-position model. The record is from RNAcentral.
CACGUAGGGCGCGAGCGUUGUCCGGAAUUAUUGGGCGUAAAGAGCUCGUAGGCGGCCUGUUGCGUCCGCUGUGAAAGCCCGGGGCUUAACCCCGGGUCGGCAGUGGAUACGGGCAGGCUAGAGGUAGGUAGGGGAGAAUGGAAUUCCCGGUGUAGCGGUGAAAUGCGCAGAUAUCGGGAGGAACAUCGGUGGCGAAGGCGGUUCUCUGGGCCUUACCUGACGCUGAGGAGCGAAAGCGUGGGGAGCGAACAGG